Molecule: ribosomal RNA, 112 nt
Filed under: Caerostris darwini
Lineage: Eukaryota; Metazoa; Arthropoda; Arachnida; Araneae; Araneidae
Source: RNAcentral
AACGGCCGUACCAUGCUGAAUAUACCGGUUCUCGUUAGAUCACCGAAGUUAAGCAUCAUUGGGCGCGGUCAGUACUUGGGUGGGUGCCCACCUGGGAACACCGCGUGCCGUU